Molecule: ribosomal RNA, 253 nt
Filed under: uncultured bacterium
Lineage: Bacteria
Description: partial 16S ribosomal RNA
Rfam family: Bacterial small subunit ribosomal RNA
Source: RNAcentral
UACGAAGGGGGCUAGCGUUGCUCGGAAUCACUGGGCGUAAAGGGUGCGUAGGCGGGUUUUUAAGUCAGAGGGGAAAUCCUGGAGCUCAACUCCAGAACUGCCUUUGAUACUGAGAAUCUUGAGUAUGGGAGAGGUGAGUGGAACUGCGAGUGUAGAGGUGAAAUUCGUAGAUAUUCGCAAGAACACCAGUGGCGAAGGCGGCUCACUGGCCCAUAACUGACGCUGAGGCACGAAAGCGUGGGGAGCAAACAGG